GAGGAAUCCAGUCCUUUACGGUGGUUUCAUCGCACGCUGAUCAGGUUUCCACAAAUACGGUCGGUAGCGCAAAUACGUGUCACUCUGUUGAAUGACAAGGAAGUAAGACAACGAUAGCGGCUAUAGCUCGACCGAGCUGGUGUUAAGACAAGACUGUGCAGUCGUGUCUUGGAAAUCAGAGGAAAGACAGCUGGGAACCCCAUCAUGCUGGAGGUGUCUUUUCCGCAAUGUUGACGUUUCCAAGGGUGCGACUGCAGCAGAGCAGAGGGCCAGCAAUUCUGACACCUGCAGCCUUCUGAAGGGAUUUCGAAAGCCAUCUGUGACCCACCUGGCUAUUGAAUCAGCAACCCUCCAUGUCUCGGGCUCGGGUCCCAAACCACGAAACCACAUCUGGGCCUCAUCUGAUCAUCUGAAUCACUGACACUUGUCCACACCCUUAUUCCCAUG
Long non-coding RNA from Ictalurus punctatus (channel catfish), 447 nucleotides. NCBI's taxonomy places the organism in Eukaryota, Metazoa, Chordata, Actinopteri, Siluriformes, Ictaluridae. The record is from Ensembl.